AAGUGGAGCAAUCCAUGAGUAAAGUGGCGACCGGGUGAGUAACACGUGACUAACCUACCUUCGAGUGGGGAAUAACCUAGGGAAACCUGGGCUAAUACCGCAUAACGUCUUCGGACCAAAGGAGCAAUCCGCUUUUGGAGGGGGUCGCGGCUGAUUAGCUAGUUGGUAGGGUAAUGGCCUACCAAGGCGAAGAUCGGUAUCCGGCCUGAGAGGGCGCACGGACACACUGGAACUGAAACACGGUCCAGACUCCUACGGGAGGCAGCAGUGGGGGAUUUUGCGCAAUGGGGGAAACCCUGACGCAGCAACGCCGCGUGGAGGAUGAAGCCCCUUGGG
Molecule: ribosomal RNA, 336 nt
Filed under: uncultured bacterium
Lineage: Bacteria
Description: bacterial SSU rRNA
Rfam family: Bacterial small subunit ribosomal RNA
Source: RNAcentral